Molecule: long non-coding RNA, 1948 nt
Filed under: Pogona vitticeps (central bearded dragon)
Lineage: Eukaryota; Metazoa; Chordata; Lepidosauria; Squamata; Agamidae
Description: lncRNA (ENSPVIG00000014470.1)
Source: RNAcentral
UUUUUCCCUUCGUAGAAUGACAUUCACAUGGCUGUUAGUGUGCCUGAUUUCACAACCAGUAUAUGUUCAGGUGUGUGGACAAGCACUAGGAGGUGGAGGGAGAUGCUUCUGCAAUGGUCCUUAACAGGAUAACAUGACUAAAUAAGAUUCUGGUCUCUAAAGUGGGGCCAAAACACACCCACACACCCCUACACACACCUAGGACAACAGGAGCUGCUGCUUUCCUGGGAUCUCCUUUACGAGAAACGUUUAUGAGAUCUCCUCUGAGGAACAGAAGAAACACUACAAAAUGUGUAUGUGGCACUAAUAUGUAUCAUUUCCACGGCUGCAGAGGUAUAGUCACAAAAAAAAGAGAGUAACUUUCCCCAGCUCUGCUUUUGACUCAGACUUCAAGUAAGUAGCACUUAAUACUUAUUUCUAGUUAUAUGUGAAUGCCCAGCAGUUAAAAAGGAAGGAGAGGGCUUGGGCUUGUGGUUACAUCUGACAUGCUUUUACUCCACAAGGACACUACAGGAGGCAUCUUGUGGAGAAAGUGUUACUGCAAAGCCUUGUUGUGGAAGCUAAAUCCCUACCACCUGCUCUCCUGGGCUUGUAGAGGCUGUUAAGCCUUGUAAUCUGUCCCUGAGAACUAUUUAAAGCCCCUUUGACUAGGUUGUUUUUGCACACAACAUGAAGAUCAAAGCUCCAAGAGGUAACAGGAUCUGGUGUCACCAAGGAUUGUACAUUUCCUCUUUCUGUGUUGCAGAUCCUGUCACCAGACGUUCCUGUUUAAGCUACUUGGAAGGAUAUCUCAAUAACAUCCCCGCUUUGCUCAAGGAGACAGAGACAGAUGAUGUGCUUCCCAUUUCCAUUCUUCUUUGGUUUGGUACUUUGUGUCAAAAAUAUCCAACUGCUGAAAAUGGGAGGGGGCUUGAACGACCAAUAUCCUACCCUCCCCCCUUUGCCUCACUAGACGAUGUCAGUAUAGCCUGUGGAGCAGAGUAUCUAGAGUGUCGGAUUAAGACACAGAAGACCUUUGUCCAAAUCCACACUUGGCCAAGAAAACUCACUGGGGGUAGAAAGAGCAAAACCAUCUUUUAAAUAUUGUGCACACCAUGGAAACCCUAUGGUCGCUGUACGUCAGAAUCAACUUGAUGGCACAUAACACUCACGUACAGUACUCAUGCCAAGUGAAUAUCCAAAGCAUUAUUUUAAAAAGGAUCUAUGAGGAGGUUCCAAAGUCUCGUUUGGGAAAUCUGAACUCUGUGAAAUUGCUCAUAUGAAGGGGAAAAUCCAACUUAUUGUUGGGAUGUGAGAAUCUGUUAGUCUUAACUUGUUAAGUUUCAAAAGGUCCAACUGUAAUGAUUUUCAAUGAUAAGUACAGUAUAGUUAAUAUAGAUAGUGUAUAUAUUAACUAUACUUAGCAUAUUAAUACUUAACAUUAUUUUAUUUAUAUUACUAUUCAUCAAUUCAUUCACUCAUUCAUUCUCUCUAUAUUCUGGAUUCAUCCACAGCUUUUCAUAAAGCCAUAUUUAAAAAGUUCUCUUCUCAAAACUCAGCCUCCGUCUGAUUGUUCAUAUCUAUCAAUUGAAGGUCGUAGGAGUAAAACCCUGGAAUUUGUUUGUGGUUUCUUAAGAGAUGUAAAAGAGGUACCACCUACCCUUCACUUUAGAGCACUGAUAACAGAAUAUCUCGGUAAUCAGCACUCUGACUCAUUAUUAUUGAUGCAUUGUAAUUUUAAAAGCCCAUUACUAAUGUAAUUGUCACUCUCUUUUUUCAUCCCACUUGGUCCCCACCCUAUUACUAUCCAGCCCAUCUGUAUCAAUCUGUGGCCUGAUAAUUAAGCUCCAUGUACCUGAAGACGUUGGGGUCACGAAGAGUCGGGCACAACUAAGCAACAACAACCUGAAGAAGUGGAUUGCCAUUCAACUCAUACUGAAAUAAACCUGUUCAUCGUGAAGGUGCUACA